AACACAGUCACACUUUGAUCCACUUGUUAGAUAGUUAUGUGUCGUGGCAAAAAAAGAAAAGAAAAAAAAAUCAUAAGCUUAACAAGUUUAGUUUGUAAUCAGAUACAGGCUGCACCUAUGCUGCAGUCAGAAGAUGAGCCUUAAAUGCGAUUUAAAAAUUGAACAAGUAAACAUCGGACCUCUGACCAAAUGGCAUAAAAAAAAAACCCUGAUGUAAGUGUAACGCCUCCAUUAGGUCGCCAGGACACCGCGACUUAAUGGAUGCCCAGAUGAGUCAUACAAAGGAAAACAUAGACCAGUACUCUAGGUUCAGCAGUAGAGAUUGAAUGGAAUAAACAGACAGGCAACAAAGCCUCCAUUAUGUGACACUGAUAGAUCGGCAGUGAACGCCACCUCACAUUCUCUUACAGCCCAGUUGAGACAGCGAGUCGGACUUUCUGACUGGGGUCUCCCAGUCCAGGAUCCAGGAUCCAGUUGCAAAGGGAGGUGGUCAGACCCAGCAGGCUCAGCUUUGUUAUCAGUUGUUGUGGGUUGAUUUUGUUGAAUGCUGAACUGAAGUCUAUGAAGAGCAUACUUACAUAGUUGCCCGUUUGUCUAGAUGGGUCAGAGAAAGAUGGAUGGUAGUACAUAUGGCUUCUUCUGUUGAGCGGUUG
Ictalurus punctatus (channel catfish) is the source of this 653-nucleotide long non-coding RNA. The record is from Ensembl. Lineage: Eukaryota; Metazoa; Chordata; Actinopteri; Siluriformes; Ictaluridae.